This 122-nucleotide ribosomal RNA is filed under the name Oryza sativa Indica Group (long-grained rice). The record is from RNAcentral. Lineage: Eukaryota; Viridiplantae; Streptophyta; Magnoliopsida; Poales; Poaceae.
CGGAUGCGAUCGUACCAGCACUAAAGCACCGGAUCCCAUCAGAACUCCGAAGUUAAGCGUGCUUGGGCGAGAGUAGUACUAGGAUGGGUGACCUCCUGGGAAGUCCUCGUGUUGCAUCCCUC